Molecule: ribosomal RNA, 644 nt
Filed under: uncultured bacterium
Lineage: Bacteria
Description: bacterial SSU rRNA
Rfam family: Bacterial small subunit ribosomal RNA
Source: RNAcentral
CGCGGCCUAUCAGCUUGUUGGUGGGGUAGUGGCCUACCAAGGCGGCGACGGGUAGCCGGCCUGAGAGGGUGACCGGCCACAUUGGGACUGAGAUACGGCCCAGACUCCUACGGGAGGCAGCAGUGGGGAAUAUUGCACAAUGGGCGCAAGCCUGAUGCAGCAACGCCGCGUGCGGGAUGACGGCCUUCGGGUUGUAAACCGCUUUCAGCAGGGACGAAGCUUUUUGUGACGGUACCUGCAGAAGAAGCACCGGCUACCUACGUGCCAGCAGCCGCGGUGAUACGUAGGGUGCGAGCGUUGUCCGGAUUUAUUGGGCGUAAAGGGCUCGUAGGCGGUUGAUCGCGUCGGAAGUGGAAACUUGAUGCUUAACGUUGAGCGUGCUUUCGAUACGGGUUGACUUGAGGAAGGUAGGGGAGAAUGGAAUUCCUGGUGGAGCGGUGGAAUGCGCAGAUAUCAGGAGGAACACCAGUGGCGAAGGCGGUUCUCUGGACCUUUCCUGACGCUGAGGAGCGAAAGCGUGGGGAGCGAACAGGCUUAGAUACCCUGGUAGUCCACGCUGUAAACGGUGGGUACUAGGUGUGGGGUCCAUUCCACGGAUUCUGUGCCGUAGCUAACGCAUUAAGUACCCCGCCUGGGGAGUACGG